UACGGAGGGGGCUAGCGUUGUUCGGAAUGACUGGGCGUAAAGCGCACGUAGGCGGUUUUUUAAGUCAGAUGUGAAAGCCCCGGGCUCAACCUGGGAAUUGCAUUUGAAACUGGGAAACUAGAGUGUGUGAGAGGGGGGUAGAAUUCCAAGUGUAGCGGUGAAAUGCGUAGAGAUUUGGAGGAAUACCAGUGGCGAAGGCGGCCCCCUGGCACAACACUGACGCUCAGGUGCGAAAGCGUGGGGAGCAAACAGG
This 253-nucleotide ribosomal RNA is filed under the name uncultured bacterium. RNAcentral's name for it is "partial 16S ribosomal RNA". It matches the Rfam family "Bacterial small subunit ribosomal RNA", at positions 524 to 776 of the family's 1533-position model. The record is from RNAcentral.